UACGUAGGGUGCAAGCGUUGUCCGGAAUUAUUGGGCGUAAAGCGCGUGUAGGCGGCUUUGCAAGUCGGGUGUGAAAGCCCUCAGCUCAACUGAGGAAGUGCGCCCGAAACUGCAGAGCUUGAGUGCCGGAGAGGGUGGCGGAAUUCCCCAAGUAGAGGUGAAAUUCGUAGAUAUGGGGAGGAACACCGGUGGCGAAGGCGGCCACCUGGACGGCAACUGACGCUGAGACGCGAAAGCGUGGGGAGCAAACAGG
This 253-nucleotide ribosomal RNA is filed under the name uncultured bacterium. Its description in RNAcentral is "partial 16S ribosomal RNA". It matches the Rfam family "Bacterial small subunit ribosomal RNA", at positions 524 to 776 of the family's 1533-position model. The record is from RNAcentral.